Molecule: ribosomal RNA, 360 nt
Filed under: uncultured soil bacterium
Lineage: Bacteria
Description: bacterial SSU rRNA
Rfam family: Bacterial small subunit ribosomal RNA
Source: RNAcentral
AGGACGAACGCUGGCGGCGUGCUUAACACAUGCAAGUCGAGCGGUAAGGCCUUUCGGGGUACACGAGCGGCGAACGGGUGAGUAACACGUGGGUGAUCUGCCCUGCACUCUGGGAUAAGCCUGGGAAACUGGGUCUAAUACCGGAUAUGACCUGCUCUCGCAGUGGGGGUGGGUGGAAAGAUUUAUCGGUGCAGGAUGGGCCCGCGGCCUAUCAGCUUGUUGGUGGGUAAUGGCCUACCAAGGCGACGACGGGUAGCCGACUGAGAGGGUGACCGGCCACACGUGGGACUGAGACACGGCCCAGACCUCCGUACGGGAGCAGCGAGUGGGAAUUGGUACGAAGUAGGCGGCAGACGUCGA